RNAcentral lists this ribosomal RNA (760 nucleotides) under uncultured Eikenella sp. RNAcentral describes it as "bacterial SSU rRNA". It matches the Rfam family "Bacterial small subunit ribosomal RNA", at positions 28 to 776 of the family's 1533-position model. Lineage: Bacteria; Pseudomonadati; Pseudomonadota; Betaproteobacteria; Neisseriales; Neisseriaceae. The record is from RNAcentral.
AUUGAACGCUGGCGGCGUGCUUUACACAUGCAAGUCGAACGGCAGCGGGGUAGUGCUUGCACUACUGUCCGGCGAGUGGCGAACGGGUGAGUAAUAUAUCGGAACGUACCGAGUAAUGGGGGAUAACCAAUCGAAAGAUUGGCUAAUACCGCAUACGUCCUACGGGAGAAAGCGGGGGAUCGCAAGACCUCGCGUUAUUCGAGCGGCCGAUAACUGAUUAGCUAGUUGGUGGGGUAAAGGCCUACCAAGGCGACGAUCAGUAGCGGGUCUGAGAGGACGAUCCGCCACACUGGGACUGAGACACGGCCCAGACUCCUACGGGAGGCAGCAGUGGGGAAUUUUGGACAAUGGGGGCAACCCUGAUCCAGCCAUGCCGCGUGUAUGAAGAAGGCCUUCGGGUUGUAAAGUACUUUUGUUAGGGAAGAAAAGGGAAGUGCUAAUACCACUUUUUGCUGACGGUACCUAAAGAAUAAGCACCGGCUAACUACGUGCCAGCAGCCGCGGUAAUACGUAGGGUGCGAGCGUUAAUCGGAAUUACUGGGCGUAAAGCGAGCGCAGACGGUUAUUUAAGCAGGAUGUGAAAUCCCCGGGCUUAACCUGGGAACUGCGUUCUGAACUGGAUAGCUAGAGUGUGUCAGAGGGGGGUAGAAUUCCACGUGUAGCAGUGAAAUGCGUAGAGAUGUGGAGGAAUACCGAUGGCGAAGGCAGCCCCCUGGGAUAACACUGACGUUCAUGCUCGAAAGCGUGGGUAGCAAACAGG